Molecule: long non-coding RNA, 1300 nt
Filed under: Cyanistes caeruleus (blue tit)
Lineage: Eukaryota; Metazoa; Chordata; Aves; Passeriformes; Paridae
Description: lncRNA (ENSCCEG00000008135.1)
Source: RNAcentral
GAGGUAAGUUUAGUGUUCAAGCGGGAAGGACAGGGAACCCCAGGGAUAGCUGCUCCCUUCCAGAAUGUUUCCCUUCACCCUUACCACAAUGAAGGGGCUGGUAGACGGCCCUAUGAACAGCUUCGGAACAUUUCUGUACAAACCCCAGCUCCUCAUUUCAGUUUCCGCUGACAGUGUUGUAGCAGAGACUUGGGGAAACAGCUGCUUUGUCCCACUGCUGUGCGCUGUUGCCAGUUCGGGGCACAGCGGCGACAAGGCCGCGUGUGGAGACGCUGCACAACAAACACGCCGUGUGGACCGGGCUCUAAGUCAGCCCGCUAGCGCCGUUUUCCUGCUGCCCAGUAACGCUGGCAAGGUCGCUCCUCUCUGCGGCCGCUCCUUUAAGGGGAGGUCGCCGCAACCCGCACGGGUGUGUGAGGAGAGGGAGAGAAGGAGCCGGAGGAUCGAGUCGGAGAGAUAUGUUGCGGACAAGAGAGCUCUUUAGCUGCUGACUGACAUUUUGCAAGCUGGUCGGUAGGUACAUCUCAAGGCUCUGUAUAAAUAUCUGGAGAGCAUGUACAGGUAAGUUUGAACACAGAGUUGGCUGUGUGCUGGUGUCAGCCAGGAAAAUGUGUUGAUGGCUCCCUGGCCUGCUCCCCCAGGCUGACACAUUUCUGCUGUGUAGGUAAAACAACAUAUGGGGUCCUUUUCUGCAGUCUUAGUAAAACAUUAUUUGGAAGUACUUACAUGGACACAGUCUUUUUCCUGCUGCAAACUUCCAGCAAUGCUUCUAUUUAGAUGGGAAAAAAUGACAUGUCAGUGAUCCUCAUUUCUACAGAAACUCCAAAAGAAACCUGGUUACUUACAUACAGAAUCUUUUUUUUUUUCAUUUUAGCUGAAGAUACUAAUAACUGGAAAAAACCCCACAUCCUUAUUUCUUCCGCACGUGUGGAAGACUUAUCACUUCUAGAAGGAAUGAUAAUUACCCUCACAGCUAUUAUUCCUUAAGUACCCAGAAAGCCUGAGUUCAAAAGAAAACAAAAAAAAUUCCAUCGUGCUUUAGGAAUUUUUUUACUUCCUUCUAUUCUCUCUCUCCUCUCACAGUCCUUAAAAAUUUAAUCUUCUAGUGGGCUGUAAUGGCAUUGCUGUUGUUUUCCUGAACAGUUAUGAGUUGAGGUAGGGGGAGUAAGCAAAGGGUGGAGCACAGUUUCAGUGGGAGUUUUGGAAAGGCUUUGAAGUGCCCUUUAGAAUGCAGUGAACCGCUUGUAGAACUGGUGUUGGAAAUUCUGGUGCUGAAUAAAAAAGAAUUAUUUUCAAAGCA